UGCCUUUAUGUGUUGCCCUUUCAUUGUUACUUUAGUGAUUGGGGUGUCAAAUAAGGCAUACACUGACUCUUGUGGUUGUCUGUGAAAUGAGCCUGACGUGACUCCUUCACACAAACAGCUGCAAGGACAAAA
RNAcentral lists this small nucleolar RNA (132 nucleotides) under Anabas testudineus (climbing perch). Its description in RNAcentral is "Small nucleolar RNA SNORA13 (ENSATEG00000023671.2)". It matches the Rfam family "Small nucleolar RNA SNORA13". From Rfam's summary of the family: ACA13 is a member of the H/ACA class of snoRNA that guide the sites of modification of uridines to pseudouridines. The record is from Rfam by way of RNAcentral. Lineage: Eukaryota; Metazoa; Chordata; Actinopteri; Anabantiformes; Anabantidae.